CAAGGAAUUUUCCGCAAUGGGCACAAGCCUGACGGAGCAACGCCGCGUGCGGGAUGACGCGUUUCGGCGUGUAAACCGCUGUUCGGGGGGACGAAGCACUGACGGUACCCCCGGAGGAAGGCCCGGCUAACUACGUGCCAGCAGCCGCGGUAAUACGUAGGGGUCGAGCGUUGUCCGGAGUUACUGGGCGUAAAGCGUGUGCAGGCGGCUCAUUGCGCCCGGCGUGAAAGCCCCCGGCUCAACCGGGGAGAGUCGUCGGGGACGGGUGAGCUUGAGGGUAUCAGGGGCUGGUGGAAUUCCCGGUGUAGUGGUGAAAUGCGUAGAUAUCGGGAGGAACACCCGUGGCGAAGGCGGCCAGCUGGGAUACACCUGACGCUGAGACACGAAGGCGUGGGGAGCGAACGG
This 405-nucleotide ribosomal RNA is filed under the name uncultured bacterium. Its description in RNAcentral is "bacterial SSU rRNA". It matches the Rfam family "Bacterial small subunit ribosomal RNA", at positions 355 to 775 of the family's 1533-position model. The record is from RNAcentral.